AACGAACGCUGGCGGCAUGCCUAACACAUGCAAGUCGAACGAAGUCUUCGGACUUAGUGGCGCACGGGUGCGUAACGCGUGGGAAUCUGCCCUUGGGUACGGAAUAACUCAGAGAAAUUUGAGCUAAUACCGUAUGAUGACGUAAGUCCAAAGAUUUAUCGCCCAGGGAUGAGCCCGCGUAGGAUUAGGUAGUUGGUGAGGUAAAGGCUCACCAAGCCGACGAUCCUUAGCUGGUCUGAGAGGAUGAUCAGCCACACUGGGACUGAGACACGGCCCAGACUCCUACGGGAGGCAGCAGUGGGGAAUAUUGGACAAUGGGCGAAAGCCUGAUCCAGCAAUGCCGCGUGAGUGAUGAAGGCCUUAGGGUUGUAAAGCUCUUUUACCCGGGAAGAUAAUGACUGUACCGGGAGAAUAAGCCCCGGCUAACUCCGUGCCAGCCGCCGCGGUAA
Molecule: ribosomal RNA, 449 nt
Filed under: uncultured bacterium
Lineage: Bacteria
Description: partial 16S ribosomal RNA
Rfam family: Bacterial small subunit ribosomal RNA
Source: RNAcentral